Molecule: ribosomal RNA, 497 nt
Filed under: uncultured bacterium
Lineage: Bacteria
Description: partial 16S ribosomal RNA
Rfam family: Bacterial small subunit ribosomal RNA
Source: RNAcentral
GAUGAACGCUGGCAGCGUGCCUAAUACAUGCAAGUCGAGCGAACAGACGAGGAGCUUGCUCCUCUGACGUUAGCGGCGGACGGGUGAGUAACACGUGGAUAACCUACCUAUAAGACUGGGAUAACUUCGGGAAACCGGAGCUAAUACCGGAUAAUAUAUUGAACCGCAUGGUUCAAUAGUGAAAGACGGUUUUGCUGUCACUUAUAGAUGGAUCCGCGCCGCAUUAGCUAGUUGGUAAGGUAACGGCUUACCAAGGCAACGAUGCGUAGCCGACCUGAGAGGGUGAUCGGCCACACUGGAACUGAGACACGGUCCAGACUCCUACGGGAGGCAGCAGUAGGGAAUCUUCCGCAAUGGGCGAAAGCCUGACGGAGCAACGCCGCGUGAGUGAUGAAGGUCUUCGGAUCGUAAAACUCUGUUAUUAGGGAAGAACAAAUGUGUAAGUAACUAUGCACGUCUUGACGGUACCUAAUCAGAAAGCGACGGCUAACUACGUG